UACGGGGGGGCCUAGCGUUGUUUGGAAUUACUGGGCGUAAAGCGCACGUAGGCGGAUUUGUAAGUCAGGGGUGAAAUCCCGGGGCUCAACCUCGGAACUGCCUUUGAUACUGCAAAUCUCGAGUCCGGAAGAGGGGAGUGGAAUUCCUAGUGUAGAGGUGAAAUUCGUAGAUAUUAGGAAGAACACCAGUGGCGAAGGCGGCUCACUGGUCCGGUACUGACGCUGAGGUGCGAAAGCGUGGGGAGCAAACAGG
RNAcentral lists this ribosomal RNA (253 nucleotides) under uncultured bacterium. RNAcentral's name for it is "partial 16S ribosomal RNA". It matches the Rfam family "Bacterial small subunit ribosomal RNA", at positions 524 to 776 of the family's 1533-position model. The record is from RNAcentral.